UUUAAGUGCAACCAUGAGUUUCUGUGUCUAACUUUGAUCGUUCGUCUUAUUUGAAAUUUUUUUAUAGUUAUUAUUUUUGUUAUUAUGAGAUGAUAAAACAUGAAUAGUACUUUAUGUGUGACUUAUAUAUUUAAAUAUUUUUAAAAAAAAUUAAAUAAGACGGACAAUCAAAGUUAAGCACAUAAAAGCAUGGUUGCACUUAAA
Non-coding RNA from Oryza glumipatula, 204 nucleotides. Lineage: Eukaryota; Viridiplantae; Streptophyta; Magnoliopsida; Poales; Poaceae. The record is from Rfam.